CCUGUCUCCUCAUUAGCACUAAGCCUCAUGACCUCAGCUGUCUGGUAAGUGUUGUGGAAGCCCUUGCAAUCUAGCUUAGACAUAAAAAGGGAGUACAUCUGGGCACCGUGAGGGACAGAAACCAGGAACUGGAACCAAAAACCGGAGACUUUAUUGGAGGGAAGGAUUGGGAGGUGGGAGAAGGGGGGACACUUGAUCUUCUGUAAAGGAAGAGUCCCAAACCCCUCAGCCUGGCACUCAAAGCCUGCCCUGGCCGUGUGGUUUCCUACCUUACCAACAGCACCUCUUGAACGUUUCUCCUCAAAAACACCAUGAACAUUCAUGCUUCUUUUUCCUCAUAUCAUUCAAAAAAUAUGAUUUUAAAUUAUAAGGGGCCUUAUGAAAUAAAAAUGUCUAAGAAAAGAAAUAUAUCUCAUUAAGAUGAAGGCCUCAUUUUCAGUAAGAUGUAAGUAAAAUAAAACUUACAUCCUGACUUUUUAGAAAAUGCUCUGUUAUGUAACCUAUAACUAGGUGGUAUGGCAUAGAAGUUUCUUCCACUAUAUAUUGAUGGAGUUUCAAAGAUAUGAAGGUGCUGUGGUCUGGAUGUACCACCAAAUUCUGGUGUUGAAAUCCUAACCCUCAAAGAGGUGGGGCCUUUGGGAGGUGAUUAGAUCAUGAGGGUGGAUCCCUUAACUCUUCCAUUAUAUGAGGACAAACCAAAAAACUGAACCAAGUCUGAACUAGGAAGCUGGCCCUCACCAAGCACCGCACCUGCCAGCACCUUGGACUUCCCAGCCUCCAGAACGGUGAGAAAUAAACGUUGGUUAUAAGCCAUCCAGUCUUUGGUAUUUUACUAUAGCAGUUUUGGCAUUUCCAUUAUGGCAGUCUUUGGUAUUGAUACAGAAGGACUGGGCUCCCGACUAAACCCCACCCUUGAGCCUGGAACUGUGGCCCUAAGUGAAAACAGCUGACCCUGUUUUUCCACCCAAAUGACGCCUUUUUGGCCUUCCAUGCCCCAUCCUGUGCCCAUAAAAAGACUUCAGCUGGCAGAGCAACACAAGCGGCUGAGUGCUCGGGAUACAAGCUGCUAAGCAUCAGGGAUUCAAGUGAUUUAAUGGCAAGCAGAGAAGCAACUGAGCAUCAGAGACUAUGGAAAGAUAUGGCUAACUUCAGCCGGUGCAGCUUUGGAGAGGGGUCUGGCUGGAAACAGCCAGGCUUCAGGGAAACAUCACCUUCUUUGGGCACCAUCCUCUUUCCAACUCCCUAUCCCGCUGAGAGCCACUUCCAUUGCCCAAUAAAAUCCUCCACAUACACUGCCUUUCAAGCCAUUUGUGAGACCUGAUUCUUCCUGGAUGCCGGACAAGAACCUGGGUGCAGAGAGGGCAAGGGCUGCCAUCCUCCACUGAGCUGGUUGGCACUUGGCUGUCCCAGGAUGGCAGAGCUCAAAGAGCAUUGGUUGGACACCGAUGCAGGGCCUGCACAGAGCCUGCUCCCACCAGAGAGGAGUGAUUGGCCAGUUCCAGCGUUGGUUCACUCUGGGGCCCGCACCUGCUCACUCGCAUGCUCCCUCUUGCACGGGGAUUGAGCACGGGGAGGCUGAGUAAAUGAGCCACACCCCUAUUGCAAGUCCUGAGAUGGGGGUCAAGGGAAUUAUCCCAUCUCAGCAGUUUAUUAUAGCCAUCUUUGGUAUUUUAUUAUAGUCGAGUGGAUUAACAGAGAAAGGAGCUCUCCAAUGGGUAUCUGUUGUUUUUUGUUUAAUAAGCAUUUUAGUGGCAGAAAUAGAUAGUUGUGUUGGGGCUCAGAAAUCAACAUCCCCAAAGAUGGUGUUUUGACCUGUUAAACUGGGAUCUCUCUGACUCCCCCACCCCCACUGUCUCUCCCAUGGAAUCUGGAGUUCCUUUAUCCACCUAAGACCCAAACCCACCAAGGAGAAGAAUUAUUCUUGUUCCCUCCCUGUUGUCAUUGUUUAUUGCAGGAAAGAAGACCAAGAUGUAAGCACACCUGAGCAGAUCCUUUUCCAAGUAUCCUGAUGUCUCCAAGGGCUGUUCAGAUUCCAAAGAGAACUAUCUACAAGUUAAUCUCUGUUACUGGAGUCAUUCAUUCUCCGUAGUAAUCUGCUCCACAGAAUUCCUCUUCUCUUCCCUCCCAUAACCUGUUUUACCAGGAUCCAAGCCUCCAUUCUUUCUGUAACCUCAUUGGGAAGUUGGUUCUUCAUUUGGAAGGCUCCCAUGUGUACAUGUUAAAUAAAUAUCUAUGCCUUUUCUUCUGUUAAUCAGUCUGCUUCAGUCAGUGAUUUUUAGUGAAACUUUAGGGGGCCAAGGGCCUUGGUCCUCAUAUUUGCUUGUCCAAUAUCAAUUCUUCACUCUUCUUUACUAAUAGAAUCCUGAUUUGGGUGGGGGCAGGGGGGCACGACAAUGUACCCAACUAAAUAAAUACCUUUCCCAGUCUCUCUUGAAGAUAUGGGUGAAAAUAUGAUAAAGUUCCUGUCAUUGAUAGUUAAGCAGAAGUUGUGAGGUGAGGCUUUUAUCUUGGCCCUUCCUCCUUCCUGUUGUGUGGACAAUGGACCUGAUGUCUGGGGCUUUGGCAGUGAUUUUAUGACUAUGAGGACAAAGACCUCACCCUCCAGGGACAGUGGAGUUGAGAACCAGGAGGAG
RNAcentral lists this long non-coding RNA (2633 nucleotides) under Homo sapiens (human). RNAcentral's name for it is "non-protein coding lnc-UNC50-1:8". Lineage: Eukaryota; Metazoa; Chordata; Mammalia; Primates; Hominidae. The record is from RNAcentral.